Molecule: ribosomal RNA, 701 nt
Filed under: uncultured bacterium
Lineage: Bacteria
Description: bacterial SSU rRNA
Rfam family: Bacterial small subunit ribosomal RNA
Source: RNAcentral
GUCGAACGAAGCACUUUAAUCGAUUUCUUCGGAUUGAAAUUUUAGUGACUGCCUGUCGGACGGGUGAGUAACGCGUGGGUAACCUGCCUCACACAGGGGGAUAACAGUUGGAAACGGCUGCUAAUACCGCAUAAGCGCACAGUACCGCAUGGUACAGUGUGAAAAACUCCGGUGGUGUGAGAUGGACCCGCGUCUGAUUAGCUAGUUGGCAGGGCAACGGCCUACCAAGGCGACGAUCAGUAGCCGACCUGAGAGGGUGACCGGCCACAUUGGGACUGAGACACGGCCCAAACUCCUACGGGAGGCAGCAGUGGGGAAUAUUGCACAAUGGGGGAAACCCUGAUGCAGCGACGCCGCGUGAGCGAAGAAGUAUUUCGGUAUGUAAAGCUCUAUCAGCAGGGAAGAAGAAAUGACGGUACCUGACUAAGAAGCACCGGCUAAAUACGUGCCAGCAGCCGCGGUAAUACGUAUGGUGCAAGCGUUAUCCGGAUUUACUGGGUGUAAAGGGAGCGCAGGCGGAAGGCUAAGUCUGAUGUGAAAGCCCGGGGCUCAACCCCGGUACUGCAUUGGAAACUGGUCAUCUAGAGUGUCGGAGGGGUAAGUGGAAUUCCUAGUGUAGCGGUGAAAUGCGUAGAUAUUAGGAAGAACACCAGUGGCGAAGGCGGCUUACUGGACGAUAACUGACGCUGAGGCUCGAAAGC